UUGUCCCCGGGCUUGCCGGCGACUGCCUCUGAUGCUGACUUAAUUGAGUCUCUUAGAGGGGGGUAGAAUUCCAGGUGUACCGGUGAAAUGCGUAGAGAUCUGGAGGAAUACCGGUGGCGAAGGCGGCCCCCUGGACCAAAACUGACGCUCACGUGCGAAAGCGUGGGGAGCAAACAGGAUUAGAUACCCUGGUAGUCCACGCCGUAAACGAUGUCUACUUGGAGGUUGGGCCCUUGAGGCCCCCCUUCCGGAACUAACGCGUUAAGUCGACCGCC
This 275-nucleotide ribosomal RNA is filed under the name Salmonella enterica subsp. enterica serovar Waycross. Its description in RNAcentral is "partial 16S ribosomal RNA". It matches the Rfam family "Bacterial small subunit ribosomal RNA", at positions 598 to 873 of the family's 1533-position model. The record is from RNAcentral. Lineage: Bacteria; Pseudomonadati; Pseudomonadota; Gammaproteobacteria; Enterobacterales; Enterobacteriaceae.